AGAAUCUGAUCCUGCUUCCACUGUAGUUAAUGAGAGUUUUGCCAUUGACUUCAGUGGGAGCUGGAUUUUAUUCU
RNAcentral lists this microRNA precursor (74 nucleotides) under Pelodiscus sinensis (Chinese soft-shelled turtle). RNAcentral's name for it is "miRNA (ENSPSIG00000019903.1)". The record is from RNAcentral. Lineage: Eukaryota; Metazoa; Chordata; Testudines; Trionychidae.